GGCUCAGGAUGAACGCUGGCGGCGUGCUUAACACAUGCAAGUCGAACGAACCUUCGGGUUAGUGGCGGACGGGUGAGUAACGCGUGGGAAUCUGCCCUCAGGAGGGGGAUAACGGUUGGAAACGACCGCUAAUACCCCAUAUGCCGAGAGGUGAAACGAAUUUCGCCUGAGGAUGAGCCCGCGUCUGAUUAGCUAGUUGGUGAGGUAAUGGCUCACCAAGGCUUCGAUCAGUAGCUGGUCUGAGAGGAUGAUCAGCCACACUGGGACUGAGACACGGCCCAGACUCCUACGGGAGGCAGCAGUGGGGAAUUUUCCGCAAUGGGCGCAAGCCUGACGGAGCAACGCCGCGUGAGGGAUGAAGGCCUCUGGGCUGUAAACCUCUUUUCUCAAGGAAGAAGAUAUGACGGUACUUGAGGAAUAAGCCACGGCUAAUUCCGUGCCAGCAGCCGCGGUAAUACGGGAGUGGCAAGCGUUAUCCGGAAUUAUUGGGCGUAAAGCGUCCGCAGGCGGCCUUUCAAGUCUGCUGUUAAAACGUGGAGCUUAACUCCAUCAUGGCAGUGGAAACUGAUGGGCUUGAGUAUGGUAGGGGCAGAGGGAAUUCCCGGUGUAGCGGUGAAAUGCGUAGAUAUCGGGAAGAACACCAGUGGCGAAGGCGCUCUGCUGGGCCAUAACUGACGCUCAUGGACGAAAGCCAGGGGAGCGAAAGGGAUUAGAUACCCCUGUAGUCCUGGCCGUAAACGAUGAACACUAGGUGUCGGGGGAAUCGACCCCUUCGGUGUCGUAGCUAACGCGUUAAGUGUUCCGCCUGGGGAGUACGCACGCAAGUGUGAAACUCAAAGGAAUUGACGGGGGCCCGCACAAGCGGUGGAGUAUGUGGUUUAAUUCGAUGCAACGCGAAGAACCUUACCAGGGUUUGACAUCCUGCGAACCUUUAAGAAAUUAGAGGGUGCCUUCGGGAACGCAGUGACAGGUGGUGCAUGGCUGUCGUCAGCUCGUGUCGUGAGAUGUUGGGUUAAGUCCCGCAACGAGCGCAACCCACGUUUUUAGUUGCCAGCAUUUAGUUGGGCACUCUAGAAAGACCGCCGGUGAUAAACCGGAGGAAGGUGUGGAUGACGUCAAGUCAUCAUGCCCCUUACAUCCUGGGCUACACACGUACUACAAUGCUGCGGACAAAGGGCAGCAAGCUCGCGAGAGCAAGCAAAUCCCAUAAACCGUGGCUCAGUUCAGAUCGUAGGCUGCAACUCGCCUACGUGAAGUAGGAAUCGCUAGUAAUCGCAGGUCAGCAUACUGCGGUGAAUACGUUCCCGGGCCUUGUACACACCGCCCGUCACACCAUGGAAGUUGGCCAUGCCCGAAGUCGUUACUCCAACCCUUGUGGAGGAGGACGCCGAAGGUGGGGCUGAUGACUGGGGUGAAGUCGUAACAAGGUAGCCGUACCGGAAGGUGCGGCUGGAUCACCUCCUAA
This 1465-nucleotide ribosomal RNA is filed under the name Prochlorococcus sp. MIT 0601. Its description in RNAcentral is "SSU rRNA". It matches the Rfam family "Bacterial small subunit ribosomal RNA". Lineage: Bacteria; Bacillati; Cyanobacteriota; Cyanophyceae; Synechococcales; Prochlorococcaceae. The record is from RNAcentral.